AAACAUGAGAGUUUGAUCCUGGCUCAGAAUCAACGCUGGCGGCGUGCCUAACACAUGCAAGUCGAACGCGAAAGUAGCCUUCGGGCUGCGAGUAGAGUGGCAAACGGGUGAGUAACGCGUGGGUGACCUACCUUCGAGUGGGGGAUAACGUUUCGAAAGGAACGCUAAUACCGCAUAACAUCCUGCCUUUGGAAAGGUGGUGAUCAAAGCCGGGGAUCGCAAGACCUGGCGCUUGAUGAGGGGCCCGCGUCCGAUUAGCUUGUUGGCGGGGUAACGGCCCACCAAGGCGACAAUCGGUAGCCGGCCUGAGAGGGCGGACGGCCACACUGGGACUGAGACACGGCCCAGACUCCUACGGGAGGCAGCAGUGGGGAAUUGUUCGCAAUGGGCGAAAGCCUGACGACGCAACGCCGCGUGGAGGACGAAAACCUUCGGGUCGUAAACUCCUGUCGAGCGGGACGAAUACUGCCUGGGUUAAUAACCCAGGCGGCUGACGGUACCGUUAAAGGAAGCCCCGGCUAACUCCGUGCCAGCAGCCGCGGUAAUACGGGGGGGGCAAGCGUUGUUCGGAUUUACUGGGCGUAAAGAGCUCGUAGGCG
This 599-nucleotide ribosomal RNA is filed under the name Acidobacteriota bacterium. RNAcentral describes it as "bacterial SSU rRNA". It matches the Rfam family "Bacterial small subunit ribosomal RNA", at positions 1 to 577 of the family's 1533-position model. The record is from RNAcentral. Lineage: Bacteria; Pseudomonadati; Acidobacteriota.